UCCAGAACAAAAUAUGAGCCACUCGGAGGAUGGCCUUGUCUCCUUCCUGCGUCACUUUGAGGCACACACCCACUGAAAGAUGCCAAAGCACCCGGCUUACAUGGGAGGGCUGACGUGCUUGCCCAGGAUCUUGCCCUGUGCGGUGUCCACCACAGGCGGCGAGGAUGGGUGCCCUGCGGGACAGCGAGAGGAAGUGAGACACGUCAGCGGUGAAAGAUGAGGAAGCUGACAAAAUGGAGGCACCCGGUAUGCACUUUCUGAAGAUGGAAAUGGGAUGGCCUUGCCAAGUGGUGACUAUUGAAGGACUCACCCCAAACCGUGGAAGUGGCCAAGGAGACCAGGACCAGAGCGAAGAGCCACAUCAUGAGGACAGCAGCUCCUGGGUCAGCAGCUCUCGGCUCUGCUGGGAGGGGCUGUGCAGUCAGCCCCAGAGCCCCUGCUCCUGCCCUGGCCCUCAGCUUCCAGCCUCCCAACCAAUGGCCUAAUCAGGUGGAAAAACUCUCUCCCUUCCAAAGAUUAAUCUGGGCUUUUUCUGGCCUCUAAGCCAUGCCUCUCAGACUUUACCCUCUCUUAUCUGAGCAGCAUGGACUAAACUCUCCAAUGAAGAUAGCCACAGACUGGAGAAACAACUUGUUACAUGAGGGUUUCUCCCUUCCUGGACUCUAACUUCAGUGCACUGUGAGCUUCCCAAAGGCAGGCACAAGCAGACAGAAGCCUUUAGACAAGGGGACACUUGGGUCUGGGGUCCUCAGAACAAGCCUGAAAACUUUUAGACCAGAUCCCAGCCCCACCGCUAUUCAGCUGGGGAACUGAGGACAAAUCUCUUCUUUUCCCUGGGCUUCUAUUUCAUAGGGCUCUAUGCUGUCAGGUUUGGAAGCAUCUUAAAUUGCAUCCAGGCUCCAUUCUGAUGCCUAAAUUAACUUUACAAUAUUCCUGCCAUGUCACUGAGCUUCCUGUUGCACACCUCGCAGAUCAAGGAACUCACUACCUCUAGACGCAAGGAUCUUUGGGCAGAUUGUUCUUACAGUAAGAAACUCCAUCCCUCCAUAGUGCCUGGCUCUAUUCAUGCAUUUGUUCAUCUGUCCAACCAUCCUUCCAUUUAUUCAUUAUUCCAUUUAUUGAUUCAUUUUCCAAACAUUUAGCGAAUGUCUGGUGCUGUGCUAGGUGUUCUAAACACAAAGGUGAAUUUGAGACUGGUUCUAUCUACUCAAGGAACUCACUAUGUUGUGGAUAAGACAUAUGGGAUGGAAGUGGGGGUUGGUUUGCAAUGCAAUGUGAAAGCACUGAAAUACAGAGAUGCAAAGUGCUCUCGGUGCACAUUGGAAUGUCAUUUAUCCUGCUGGGGACAUGAGCAAGAUGCUCGAAGCCUGUUUCAUAGAAUCAUUGAAUGUCUAACAAUAGUGAAUCCGUUAAAGACACUGGUACAGCUGGCUAAGGACAUACUAUGCGUUCACUCAAACUAGUGAGGCACACGGCUAUUUACUGGCAAGGAAAGACAGUCAGGAUCUAUUGUGAAGGGAAGAAACAGGUUAUAAAAUCGUUAUGGCUGUUGGGGGCCAGCCCAAUGGUGCAGCAAUUAAGUUAGCACGUCCCGCUAUGGUGGCCCAAGGUUCUCAGGUUCGGAUACCGAGUGCGGACCUACACACAACUUGUUAAGCCAUGCUGUGGCAGGCAUCCCACAUAGAAAGUGGAGGAAGAUGGGAACGAAUGCUAGAUCGGGGCCAAUCUACCUCAGCAAAAACAGGACGAUUGGCAGCAGAUGUUAGCUCAGGGCUAAUCUUCCUCAAAAAGAAAAAAAAAAUCAUUAUCCCUGCUUCGGGAAACAGUUUGGCAGUUCCUCAAAGAUUAAACGCAGAGUUACCAUAUUUCCCAGAAAUUCCCUUCCUAGGUCUGUACUCAAGUUAGUUGAGAACGCGUCCAGACAAGAACUUGUGCAUCAACAGCAGCAGUAUUCGUAACAGCCAGAAGGAGACACAACCCAACGUCCAUCAACUGAUGAACGCACAAAGAAAAGGUGGUCUAGCCAGACAAUGCAAUAUUGUCCAGCCAUAAAAAGGAAUGAAGUAUGGAUACUUCCUACAACAUGGAUGUUUUCACUCACUCCAAGGAAGAAUCUUGAAAACAUUACGCUAACGAAAGAAUCCAGACACCAAAGACCACAUAUAGUGUGAUUCUAUUUAUAAGAAAUGUCCAGAAUAAGCCCCUCCACAGAGACAGAAAGUGCAUUAGCAUUUCUCGGGGCUGGGCAGGAGAGGAGGAGGAACGACUGCUAAUGGCUGUGAGGUUUCCUUGUGGAGGGAGGGCAAGGUUCUGGGAGUAGAUAGUGGUGAUGGUUACACACCUCUGUGAAUACAACAAUACCACAGACUUGCACACUUGAGGAAGGUGAAUUUCAGGGUUUUUGAAUUAUAUUUCAAUAAAAUAAAUAUUUUCUUGAAAAUC
Molecule: long non-coding RNA, 2442 nt
Filed under: Equus asinus (donkey)
Lineage: Eukaryota; Metazoa; Chordata; Mammalia; Perissodactyla; Equidae
Description: lncRNA (ENSEASG00005027115.1)
Source: RNAcentral